UACAGAGGGUGCGAGCGUUAAUCGGAAUUACUGGGCGUAAAGCGCGCGUAGGUGGCUAUGCAAGUCGGAUGUGAAAUCCCCGGGCUCAACCUGGGAACUGCAUUCGAGACUGCAUUUGCUCGAGUAAUGGGAGAGGGAAGUGGAAUUUCCGGUGUAGCGGUGAAAUGCGUAGAUAUCGGAAGGAACACCAGUGGCGAAGGCGACAUCUGGCUCAUUACUGACGUGAGGCGCGAAAGCGUGGGGAGCAA
Molecule: ribosomal RNA, 248 nt
Filed under: uncultured bacterium
Lineage: Bacteria
Description: partial 16S ribosomal RNA
Rfam family: Bacterial small subunit ribosomal RNA
Source: RNAcentral